This 443-nucleotide ribosomal RNA is filed under the name uncultured bacterium. RNAcentral's name for it is "bacterial SSU rRNA". It matches the Rfam family "Bacterial small subunit ribosomal RNA", at positions 29 to 507 of the family's 1533-position model. The record is from RNAcentral.
AACGAACGCUGGCGGCAGGCCUAACACAUGCAAGUCGAACGUGAAGCCACCUUCGGGUGGUGGAAAGUGGCAGACGGGUGAGUAACGCGUGGGAACGUGCCUUUCGGUUCGGAAUAACCCAGGGAAACUUGGGCUAAUGCCGGAUACGCCCUCCGGGGGAAAGAUUUAUCGCCGAAAGAUCGGCCCGCGUCGGAUUAGCUUGUUGGUGGGUAAAAGCCUACCAAGGCGACGAUCCGUAGCUGGUCUGAGAGGAUGAUCAGCCACACUGGGACUGAGACACGGCCCAGACUCCUACGGGAGGCAGCAGUGGGGAAUAUUGGGACAAUGGGCGCAAGCCUGAUCCAGCAAUGCCGCGUGUGUGAAGAAGGCCUUCGGGUUGUAAAACACUUUCACUCGCGAAGAUGAUGACGGUAGCGAGAGAAGAAGCCCCGGCUAACUCCGUG